GGACCAGUGCACAGGUGCUGCAUGGCUGUCGUCAGCUCGUGUCGUGAGAUGUUCGGUUAAGUCCGGCAACGAGCGCAACCCACAUCUUUAGUUGCCAGCAGGUUAAGCUGGGCACUCUAGAGAAACUGCCCGUGAUAAGCGGGAGGAAGGUGUGGAUGACGUCAAGUCCUCAUGGCCCUUACGGGUUGGGCUACACACGUGCUACAAUGGCAGUGACAAUGGGUUAAUCCCAAAAAGCUGUCUCAGUUCGGAUUGGGGUCUGCAACUCGACCCCAUGAAGUCGGAAUCGCUAGUAAUCGCGUAACAGCAUGACGCGGUGAAUACGUUCCCGGGCCUUGUACACACCGCCCGUCACACCAUGGGAGUUGGUUCUACCCGACGACGCUGCGCUAACCCUUCGGGGAGGCAGGCGGCCACGGUAGGAUCAGCGACUGGGGUGAAGUCGUAACAAGGUAGCCGUAAUCACUAGUGAAUUCAR
This 478-nucleotide ribosomal RNA is filed under the name uncultured Alphaproteobacteria bacterium. RNAcentral describes it as "bacterial SSU rRNA". It matches the Rfam family "Bacterial small subunit ribosomal RNA", at positions 1024 to 1533 of the family's 1533-position model. Lineage: Bacteria; Pseudomonadati; Pseudomonadota; Alphaproteobacteria. The record is from RNAcentral.